GAAGAUGCUGCCACUUUGUCUCCAUUUUUCAAAGAAGCAGUGUCUUUCACCAUCAACAUUCCUAUUUGGGACAACUCUGGCCUUGUGAGGACAACUCUCAGCUGUUAGAAUGUUUGAUAUACAUGUAACUUUUGUUCACUUCAAAUUUUAUCCAUGGACUUUUCAGGAAGUACCAAAGACAACUCCUGCUAGCAAACUGGCUACCAAAGCUGCCACAGUUCCAGAAACUCCAGUUAGAGACUCAAAACCAAGUCCAAAGAAAACUGUUACUCUGAAAAAGGAUAAAAAAGAUGUUGAUAAGGAAACUCCAAUCAAAGGAACACCAAAGGUGUCAAAAUCAGAGGAAGUGGAUGAAGUUCCACCCUCAUCGGAAAAGAAAACAAUCUGGCUACUGUAGUUUUAUGGCAAGAGAUGGUCCUAGGACACUUGGUUUAAAGGAAAUCCCUCAGGCUAAGGCAAUGUGGAACAUCACAAAUACAUGAAGAUGGUCUGUUUUAGCUUGUCAGAACAAAACCAGGCAAUGAGACCAGCUAUGAACCACCAAGUGUGGAUAAGAAGACAAAGAAGAAGGAGAAACUGAACCAGUGGAGUCUCUCAGCCAGAGAAAAGAUCAGUUUGAAGGUGAUUUGUCACAACUGAGGGAAAGAUCUGCGUCAUCUCCAACAACACAAACACUAUCAUCAUCACCUGCACGGAAAGCUUUCUUUUUCAACAAAGAUCAAGAUGGGUCGUCGUUAAAGGAAGCUCUUCUGUCCGGUUCCCCAGGAGUUGGUAAAACAACAACAGCAACACUGGUUUGUGAAGAGCUUGGUUUUACGUACAUUGAAAUGAAUGCCAGUGACACACGGAGCAAAAAGACCUUGGAAGAACACAUUUCUCAGUCACUGAGCAAUAAAACCAUGGAUGGCCUUCUGACAGGUUGUCAAAUUUCUGUAACAUUUGGAAUGACUUUGAUAUUAUUAAAGAUGCUUCAUUCA
Non-coding RNA from Pocillopora verrucosa, 977 nucleotides. The record is from RefSeq and is a predicted model, not a curated record. NCBI's taxonomy places the organism in Eukaryota, Metazoa, Cnidaria, Anthozoa, Scleractinia, Pocilloporidae.